Molecule: transfer RNA, 90 nt
Filed under: Salmonella enterica subsp. enterica serovar Enteritidis str. SA20084824
Lineage: Bacteria; Pseudomonadati; Pseudomonadota; Gammaproteobacteria; Enterobacterales; Enterobacteriaceae
Description: tRNA-Lys (TTT) (tRNA-Lys-TTT-2-1)
Rfam family: tRNA
About the family: Transfer RNA (tRNA) molecules are approximately 80 nucleotides in length. Their secondary structure includes four short double-helical elements and three loops (D, anti-codon, and T loops). Further hydrogen bonds mediate the characteristic L-shaped molecular structure. tRNAs have two regions of fundamental functional importance: the anti-codon, which is responsible for specific mRNA codon recognition, and the 3' end, to which the tRNAs corresponding amino acid is attached (by aminoacyl-tRNA synthetases). tRNAs cope with the degeneracy of the genetic code in two manners: having more than one tRNA (with a specific anti-codon) for a particular amino acid; and 'wobble' base-pairing, i.e. permitting non-standard base-pairing at the 3rd anti-codon position.
Source: RNAcentral
GUUAGCUCAGUUGGUAGAGCAGUUGACUUUUAAUCAAUUGGUCGCAGGUUCGNNNACUAAACGCCGUUUCCUGCCUAACCUGCACUCUCA